Long non-coding RNA from Spinacia oleracea (spinach), 473 nucleotides. RefSeq lists it as uncharacterized. The record is from RefSeq and is a predicted model, not a curated record. NCBI's taxonomy places the organism in Eukaryota, Viridiplantae, Streptophyta, Magnoliopsida, Caryophyllales, Amaranthaceae. The transcript has 2 exons.
GAGUUGGGCCUGUUUAACUAAGCUUGGACCAUAGUUCAUGUCUGCAACUUGAAAAUCGUGUGCUUCAGCAAGAAAGAAAGAGAGCAUGCAGUGCUCAGGUCAUUGAAGCAACUUAAUUGUGAAAUUCGGUUCUUUUAAGGUGCAUCGACAAGACUACAUGAUCACCUAAAGAAGCAUUAGUGUUAGAACAUGAAACCCCAAUAAGAAGCCUGCUAAAUCGACGGAGGCAGGACCAUCAUCAGAAACACCAGGUAGCAAGAAUACAACAGAGCAUUGAACAAGUUUCUCAGAAGCCCACUAUGAUGAAGUUCCAGCUUAUUGCACAAUGUUAAUCCCCACCCCUCUUAUCCAGUACAUAGGAAGAACUGUAGGCGAUUUCAUCAAUAGACAAUACAAAAUCUUGAAGCUCGUGCAAGACAGAUGGAAAUGACGAUAUUCUGUUAUCAUAAUAAACACAACCUUUAAUUCUAACA